CCUACGGGAGGCUGCAGUGGGGAAUUUUCGGCAAUGGGGGGAACCCUGACCGAGCAACGCCGCGUGAGGGAAGAAGGUCUUCGGAUCGUAAACCUUUGUCAUCAGGGACGAUCAUGACGGUACCUGAGGAGGAAGCCACGGCUAACUACGUGCCAGCAGCCGCGGUAAUACGUAGGUGGCGAGCGUUGUCCGGAAUUACUGGGCGUAAAGGGCGUGUAGGUGGCCUUUUAAGUCAGGCGUGAAAACCCACGGCUUAACCGUGGGCCUGCGCUUGAAACUGGGGGGCUUGAGGGCAGGAGAGGAAAGCGGAAUUCCCAGUGUAGCGGUGAAAUGCGUAGAUAUUGGGAGGAACACCAGUGGCGAAGGCGGCUUUCUGGACUGACCCUGACACUGAGGCGCGAAAGCCAGGGGAGCGAACGGGAUUAGAUACCCCUGUAGUC
RNAcentral lists this ribosomal RNA (440 nucleotides) under uncultured Bacillota bacterium. RNAcentral describes it as "bacterial SSU rRNA". It matches the Rfam family "Bacterial small subunit ribosomal RNA", at positions 338 to 795 of the family's 1533-position model. Lineage: Bacteria; Bacillati; Bacillota. The record is from RNAcentral.